RNAcentral lists this non-coding RNA (209 nucleotides) under Eubacterium sp. Its description in RNAcentral is "6S RNA". It matches the Rfam family "6S / SsrS RNA". Rfam says of the family: E. coli 6S RNA was the first non coding RNA to be sequenced, but its function was unknown until recently. It consists of 184 nucleotides that fold into an extended hairpin structure with a large single-stranded internal bulge. The record is from RNAcentral. Lineage: Bacteria; Bacillati; Bacillota; Clostridia; Eubacteriales; Eubacteriaceae.
UAUAUCCUGAAGUGUUCGACAACUCUUGAAUUUUUGAACCUACAAUACUUUAAACGGGAUUCUUAUAUCUGGGGUUGGAUGCCGGGCCGUCACUGCCCAUUACCGGGUAUUAUGGCGACAUAGCAACGGAAGGCAGAAGACACCAUGCGGUUGCCCACCUAGCUUUGUGCUAGGAGUCAAAAAUCAGGAGCCGGCAUUUUGGGUAUAUU